AGUAAAGAAAGCAGCUUGCCAACUUGUUCAUCCAAUUGCUCUAAAUAAUCUCUUUCCAGGAAUCAAGUGAUUCAAGAGGCAGGGACUGUUGCUUCUUCAUUUCACUGUCUAAAGGAACCAUAUGUUACCAUUCUUAUUCAGAGGGGAACACUCCUGAGGAUCUUGAUUAAAGGCAACUCAUGCCACCAACGGUAUUUCUAUGAUCUACCUACUAUGGAGCUGAAAAGUAAAGAUGGAAAUAAGCCUAUCUACAAACAGGAUGCUCUCUAUCAAGAGUCAUGAGAAUUGUCUUCAGAGGGUGCUGAAGAGACAUCAACCUGUCUUCUUUGAGACUCCUAGUGUUGGUGUGGAAGAUGCUACUGGAGACAACAGGUUCCUCCAGGCCUGAUUGCUUGGUCAAUUGUGAAUCACCUUUGAUGAAACAUACUCCGGCAUAAGAUGAGCCAGCGUGUGGCACCUGGCAUUUCAUUAAACAAUUGCACUGACUUAGAGGAUGCCCAGGAACCCAGACCACUACAUACACCAAAUCUCUUUUCUGAAAAUCCAUGGAGAAAUUUUUCCAGCUGCUAGGCAUUCCAGGAGAAGCUGCUGACCAGCAGGGCUCUCGGACAUAUGAAUAAGAAUACCCACUUGGAAAAGAGAAGAAGUACAUACCCCUUCAUCUUAGGUCAUGUCUUUUUCUGAGGUCCUAUUUCAGUAGUACAGACGCCUCUGAGCUGAAGAGAGGUAAAGAAAAGAACAUGCUGUCUCGCACACAAAAUCUUUGACUGACCACCAGCCACCUCCCAGUAUCUGGAGAAAUUCUGGCCUCACGAACUGUCCGCAAAGCUUUGAGUGAUAAAGUCCUGCAGAAACUUUAAGAGCAACUAACUCUCCCAGGGCAUGCCAACGAUACUUGAUUUAAAGCAUAACAG
This 914-nucleotide long non-coding RNA is filed under the name Homo sapiens (human). RNAcentral's name for it is "HSALNT0320403". The record is from RNAcentral. Lineage: Eukaryota; Metazoa; Chordata; Mammalia; Primates; Hominidae.